CUUCUCUUAUUUCUUCUACUCAAUAUUUUUCUCUGCUCAUCUGAAGUACUAUACCUUCCCGUCACUAAAGAUGCAUCAACUCUACAAUACAUUACAGAAGUAAGUCAAAGAACUCCUUUAAUUCCCAUAAAACUUUUAGUCCAUCUUGGUGGAAGAAGUUUAUGGGUGGAUUGUGACAAAGGUUUUAAAAGUUCAACUUACAAACCAGGUGUAUGUAAUUCUACACAAUGCACUUAUUCCAAUCCUAAUUACUGUGGUGACUGCAUAUUGAAACCAAAAUUGCAGCCUGGAUGCAACAACAAUAGUUGUUACAUUUGGGGUGAAAAUCCCUUGAUCGAUUGGUUUGACGAUAGCGCUGAAAUUGCUGAUGAUGUAUUGGUUAUUGGUUCAACUCCUGGUGUUCGUGUAACUUGGCCGCGGUUUAUUUUCGCUUGCUUUGUUAGUCCCAAUAUGGUGAGACUUCUCGCCAAUGGAGUCACAGGUAUUGAAUUAUACUACUAAUCAUUGUACUUGAUUUCAUUUAUCAGUUCAAUUUUUUGUUUAUUAUUUUGCCGAAUCAUUAAACUUAUUAAUUAGAUUACAACAUUUGACAUUUCUUCUAAUCAUUGACCAAACUUAUGUAACAUUAGCGUUGCUAAGUUGAAAAAAUGCAUGAUUGCACAUAUUUUGAAGACAAAUAAAUUUAAUAUUUUACAUUAAAAAUAUUAAAAUUAAAAAAAAAUUCAAUUUUAAAAAGUUAAAAAACUUAUCUUCUUCCUCAAUCAUUUCUCCCUCCAAACCCAACCCCCAACUUUCUUCAUCACCAACCCUCUUUUCUCUGCCCCCACGACACCCCACCCCACCCCGCACCCCAACUUUUUUCUUCACUAGCCCCCCAAGCAAUUCCUUUUGUCUUGCACAAACAAAUCACAAACAGUUUUAUAUAAUGAUCAAAUUAAAAAAAUGUCACGUUUUUUUAUCCUCACACGUCAUUAGGUGGGUGACGGGGGUUAAUUUCAACUAUAAACAAGUAUAGUGAUUAGUGGCCAAGAAGUCUCCUAGGAAGUUUUUUUUAACCACACAAGUGUUAUGACAUGUAUAAUUAAAUUCUUAAAUUUCAAAAGUCUUAUAUAAUCAUACAAAAUACAAAUAUUAUGAAAUGCUUAAAAAAAUAAACAUUAAAUGUCUUUAUUUAAGAAAGAAAGAAAAACAUUUGAAACUUAUGAACUAAAAUGAGUGAAAAAUAUUUAUGCUACUAUAAAUUAUUUCAUCAAGAUGAAAUAGAUAUUUUAAAGUUAAAUUAUUGCUCAACAUAGAAAUGUGUCAUUCUUUCGAAGACAGAUUAAAAAAAAAGCUAGUCAUAUAAAUUGAGACAGAUAGAAUAGUGCAUCUUAAACUGUGUCAAAUCAAAGAGCUACUAAAUAAAUUAGGAUAGAGGAGUGAUCGACCAUUUUUGUGAAGAUAUAUUUUGAUUUUCAGGUGACAACGAGAUCCAUAUAUAACCUCUUCUUUAAAAGGACACUUUUUAAUUAUUCAAAUUGUAUUCUAUCUUAUCAGGAAUUGCAGGUUUUGGACGUGAAAGUCCAAUUUCCAUUCCAAAUCAACUUGCUUUAGAUCCUAGAUUCACCAAGAAAUUUGGUAUAUGUUUGAGCUCAUCUACAACAUCUCGUGGAGUUAUAUUCAUCGGUUCUGGUCCAUAUUAUGUUUACAAUCCUAAGAAGAUCGAUAUCUCAAACAAUAUUCUCUACACCAAAUUAAUCGCAAAUAAAAAUGCAUUUUUGGUAACUCAAGAGUACUAUAUCCAAGUUUCAUCCAUUAAAAUUGCGGGACAAGAUAUUCCACUAAAUAAAACAUUGCUAUCUAUUAAUAAAAAAGAUAUAGAUGGUGGGACGAGAAUCAGCACAGCGUCACCUUACACAAUUUUGCACCCUAGCAUUUACGAUGCUUUUAAAACUGCUUUCAUCAACGCGCUUCCAAAGAAUGUGGCACUUGUAGAGUCUCCUAUGAAACAAUUUGGACUUUGCUUUAGUUCGAAAAACAUUAAAAGUACCAACGUUGGACCAGCUGUUCCUGUGAUAGAUAUUGUGUUGCACAAGCCGAGUGCAUUUUGGAGGAUUUAUGGAACAAAUUCAGUGGUACAAGUUAGUAAGGAUGUUAUGUGUUUAGCAUUUGUGAAACAAGAUGAAGAAAGGGAACCAUCAAUUGUUAUAGGAGGACAUCAAUUGGAAGAGAACCUAUUGAUAUUUGACCUUCCUGGAAAGAAGAUUGGUUUCAGCUCAUCACUUAAACUUCAACAAACAUCAUGCUCUCAGUACGACAAUACCAUUCUAGGCUAAGCCCCUCUAUUCUAUAUAUGUAAUUUUCUAUUUCAAUAAUAAACUAGAUGGUCGGUGCCCGUGCAUUGCAUAGGCGUAUGACUUAUAUCGUUUUAUAUGUUAUUCUUCAUAAUUUCCUAUUUGGAUAAUAAAUUAGAUGUUCUAACUUCUAUAUACAAUUGAUAAACCAAUGUACGAGAUCUAUCAUUUUGCUGACUCAAAGAGUUGAUAGUAUAGUCAUGCAGUCCAUGGAUCGAUCCUCUAACCGGCUAUAUAUUUAGAUUACCAUUAGAGCCGUCAAUAUGGGCUAGGCUCGUUGGACUGGCUUGACCUAGUCUGUGAUUUGAUAGGGCUGAACUACGAGUUUUGGAGCCCAUUUAAGAAAAGAGUUUUUUAGCCCGGUCUGAAUAAGUCUGUCGAUUUGUGGAGCUUGAGAAAUAUGGAUAGAGCCGGUCCAUGGGCCAAAUAAAAAUUAAUUAAAAAAUAAUAAUAAGAUAGAGUAUUAAAAAUAACAAGAGUCUAAACUCAAAUCUGUUUAAAGUUUGAAAUAUUACAAUUUAAAAUCGGUCAUAGUUUUUGUGUUUUAUUACGAUCAUUGGAAAACAAUUAGGUUAUAUUUCUAUUUAGCUAUUUAUACUUUUACUUGAAAUCAAACUUAAUAAAUAUUAUAAAGAUAAUUUUAUUUGUGUAUUUAAUUAACAAAUAGUAACACUAACACCAUGUAAUAUUGUCUUGUCGAUAUUUAUGAUAAUAAAAAUUAUAAAAAAUAUACUUUUAAGAAAAAAGGGUUGGCCCGGCAAAGCCCGUAGCCCACGCACUUGUGGGAGCCUAUAGCCCACAUACUUAUGGGCUGAGCCGACAAUUUUCUAGCCCACACAAAAAAUGGGCUAGUCCGGCUUGGCCCGUCAAAUUUCAAAGCCUGUAUGGGUUAGCCCGGAUGGGGUGGGCCAACCCAUAUUGACAGCUCUAAUUACCAUCAUGACUACAUCUAGAGCCGUCAAAAUAGGUUUAGCCCAUGGGAUCGGUCCAAUCCAACUCGUUAUUGGGGUACGGUUGAGAUAGAUUUUUUCAAGCCCAUUUAAAAUUAGGGCUUAUGAUCCUUUAGCCCUUAAGGCUUGAUCAGGGCCGAGUUGGGGUCGGCCCAUGGGCCAAAACUAUUUAUUUAAGAGUAACUUACAUAAAUUUCUCUAGUGUAUGAGCUGAUUACUUAAAGGUACGUUAUGUUGUAAUAUUACGAAUCUUAUCAGAUUUUGGUAUGUCCAAAUACAUGUAUCUCGGGAUACAUGGACUCAAAAUUAGGUUAAUUUGUUCUAGAUACACUCUAUCUAGGAUACAUAGAUAAAUCUCGCACCCUCGCCACUCUCUAAUCUCACUCGCGUAUCUGGGGUGCAUCACACCAGAUACUGAGAUACAUAUAUCUAGUAUCCAAGAUACAUGCUAAUCACACUAUACUUUUUGCCAGUGUUAUUAAAACAACACCAUUAUUUGCCAUAUUUGAUUUGAAAAUCUUCUCAUCUUCUUGAUGUUAUACAAUUUUAAGUUUGAAAAGAUAAAAAACAAAAAAAGAAGGGCUAGCCCACCCCAGCAAGAAUAAUCUAACUGAUUUGUUCCACAGAACAUAUCAUACUUUCCUUAUCUCACGUUCUAUCUCUAAUUUUGUUAUAAUCUCAAAUUCCAUUAGCAAUUAUCCAUUUACCUAUUGGUAGCUAAGCAAGUAAGCAACAGAGAAAUAAGCAUAGUAUUAAGAGGAGAAAACUUUGACCGUAAAAGUCCGCAAUAACAACCAAUAUAUCAAAUUAUACAACGUUCAUAGUAUGGUCAUAACCCCCUAAAAAGGACUUUUAGUCAUUUAAUAUCUGAUUACAAAGCAAUAAUUCAAAUAAGAAAAAAGAAAUGAAGUAAGUAAAAAGCAAGAAAGUAAAUCCUAGAUAAUUUGCUCUUUGUUAUUGCUCUGUGCCUCAACAUUCAACAAUAUUUAUCUCCCUUUAAAAAUGAUUAAGGAUGAGCAUUUAUAAUAUUUAAUAAAAACAUCUAGAAGGGUCCUCCAAGUCGAUCUAUUCAAUCCAUUUCUCCUUUAAACCAUGUUACAUAUUUAAUCAUAAUUUUUUUAUUGAUAAACAAGAUCUGCACACAUUUUGUUACCGCACACAGAUACAAAAUAGUCUUUUUUUGUUUUUAUAAUCUAUUUUCACAAAUCAGGUAGCUAGUCCCAGUACAUCAAUACUGGUGGUGGUUAAUUAACUGCAUUUACCUUUUGAGCCAACAGACUAAAAAAAACCUCCCACUAUUCUUGUUUAAAAGGAUAUUUUGAAAAACUUAAAAUUUAAUUUGGUACAUAGUUAACUCUACUACUUUCAAUAACUAUUAAGUACUAUAAGUUUUGAACCCAUAAUAACACAAAUGCGAUGAAAAUAUAAACAUUCAACGACCACCACAUGAUGGGCGGCCUCCUUCCUUAAUCAAAGGUUUCGGUUCGAGCCCUGAUAUAAAAAAAUCUUUACCCCACCACUUAGUCCCGAAUGAAGCCCUAUACAAUGUAAAUUCGAAAUAGUCAGAUUUCAACGUCGAUAAAAAAAUAAAAUAUUCAACGCAUUAAUUAAAUUCACGUUUGAAAAUUGAGAUUAGAUGUCAACAUCAAGAAUCUCAAAUACGCGUAUAAAUCUGUCCAUGUGCAUGAGAUAACUCCAUGCUGACUAGAUUUUAUUCAAAGUCAAAGUUUUGACUUGUGAUCAUAUACUCUCUCCUGUACAUUUUACUUUCUUUUGCACACAGAAAAACAUGAAUUAAAAGCUACUCCCUGUCCCAAUUUAUGUGACCUACUUAUAAAAAAAAUAACAUAUUUUUAUAUUAAGUAAUAAUUUAACUAUAAAUGUCUAUUUUACCCUUAAUGAAAUGAUUUACAACCACACAAAUUUUUAUCAUUCAUUUUGGAUCACAAAUUUUAAAAGUCUUUCUUUCUUUCUUAAACUCCAUGCCGAGCCAAACUACCUCACAUAAAAUGGGACGGAGAGGGAGUAAUAUAAUUUAAUUAUUUUUAUUUAAUUUUAUUUUGAUCUAUUACUACUUUUUUUAAUCAUAAUAAUUUCUCUUUAUAUUUAUUGAGUAAUUAUCAAAUUAAAUUUUUUGUUAUUAAUUUUAUUUUGAUUUUCUUGAUCGGACUAUUUUUGAUAAACACGGCAUCUAAUAUGGACCAGAAAGAGUAAGAAAUACGGAACCAUUAUACAGCUUCACUAAAUGUCAACGGAAAUAAACAAAAGAAUCCAUAUAGACUAUAGUUGUCUAAGCUUAUUCUCUUACUAUAAAUUUGCAACUCCAUACUUAGAAUUUCUCAUUGGUCUAAUAAUCCAUUUACUUUUUUGUCUUUCUUUGUUUAGCAUGGUGACAUUCAAACUUCCUUUAUCUAUGCUUCUUUUAUUCCUUCUACUCAAUAUUUUUCUAUGCUCAUCUGAAGUACUAUACAUUCCAGUCACUAAAGAUGCAUCAACCCUAGAAUACAUUAUAGAAGUAGGUCAAAGAACUCCUUUAAUCCCCAUAAAACUCUUAAUCAAUCUUGGUGGUAGAAGCUUAUGGGUGGAUUGUGACAAAGGUUACAAAAGUUCAACUUAC
This 5900-nucleotide long non-coding RNA is filed under the name Solanum tuberosum (potato). Its description in RNAcentral is "long non-coding RNA (STUB_LNC002003)". The record is from RNAcentral. Lineage: Eukaryota; Viridiplantae; Streptophyta; Magnoliopsida; Solanales; Solanaceae.